RNAcentral lists this ribosomal RNA (467 nucleotides) under uncultured bacterium. RNAcentral's name for it is "partial 16S ribosomal RNA". It matches the Rfam family "Bacterial small subunit ribosomal RNA", at positions 28 to 506 of the family's 1533-position model. The record is from RNAcentral.
GACGAACGCUGGCGGCGUGCUUAACACAUGCAAGUCGAACGGAAAGGCCCUGCUUUUGUGGGGUGCUCGAGUGGCGAACGGGUGAGUAACACGUGAGUAACCUGCCCUUGACUUUGGGAUAACUUCAGGAAACUGGGGCUAAUACCGGAUAGGAGCUCCUGCUGCAUGGUGGGGGUUGGAAAGUUUCGGCGGUUGGGGAUGGACUCGCGGCUUAUCAGCUUGUUGGUGGGGUAGUGGCUUACCAAGGCUUUGACGGGUAGCCGGCCUGAGAGGGUGACCGGCCACAUUGGGACUGAGAUACGGCCCAGACUCCUACGGGAGGCAGCAGUGGGGAAUAUUGCACAAUGGGCGGAAGCCUGAUGCAGCAACGCCGCGUGCGGGAUGACGGCCUUCGGGUGGUAAACCGCUUUCGCCUGUGACGAAGCGUGAGUGACGGUAAUGGGGAAAGAAGCACCGGCGAACUACGG